RNAcentral lists this ribosomal RNA (373 nucleotides) under uncultured organism. Its description in RNAcentral is "partial 16S ribosomal RNA". It matches the Rfam family "Bacterial small subunit ribosomal RNA", at positions 527 to 896 of the family's 1533-position model. The record is from RNAcentral.
GUAGGUGGCAAGCGUUGUCCGGAAUUAUUGGGCGUAAAGCGCGCGCAGGCGGUCCUUUAAGUCUGAUGUGAAAGCCCACGGCUCAACCGUGGAGGGUCAUUGGAAACUGGGGGACUUGAGUACAGAAGAGGAAAGCGGAAUUCCAAGUGUAGCGGUGAAAUGCGUAGAGAUUUGGAGGAACACCAGUGGCGAAGGCGGCUUUCUGGUCUGUAACUGACGCUGAGGCGCGAAAGCGUGGGGAGCAAACAGGACUAGAUACCCUGGUAGUCCACGCCGUAAACGAUGAGUGCUAAGUGUUAGGGGGUUUCCCGCCCCCUUAGUGCUGCAGCUAACGCAUUAAGCACUCCGCCUGGGGAGUACGGCCGCAAGGCUG